Molecule: ribosomal RNA, 464 nt
Filed under: uncultured bacterium
Lineage: Bacteria
Description: bacterial SSU rRNA
Rfam family: Bacterial small subunit ribosomal RNA
Source: RNAcentral
UCCAGACUCCUACGGGAGGCAGCAGUGAGGAAUAUUGGUCAAUGGCCGGAAGGCUGAACCAGCCAAGCCGCGUGAAGGACGAAGGUGCCAAGCAUUGUAAACUUCUUUUGUCAAGGGACAAAAUCAGGCUCGAGAGCCUGACCGAGGGUACUUGAAGAAAAAGCAUCGGCUAACUCCGUGCCAGCAGCCGCGGUAAUACGGAGGAUGCGAGCGUUAUCCGGAUUUAUUGGGUUUAAAGGGUGCGUAGGCGGACUGUAAGGUCAGGGGAAAAGGCCGGGGCCUCACCCCCGGCGAGCCGUUGAAACUGGCUGUCUUGAGAUGUCGAGAGGUAUGCGGAAUGCGCAGUGUAGCGGUGAAAUGCAUAGAUAUCACGCAGAACUCCGAUUGCGAAGGCAGCGCACCGGCGCCCUACUGACGCUCAGGCACGAAAGCGUGGGUAUCGAACAGGAUUAGAUACCCGGGUA